GUGGGGAAUCUUCCACAAUGGACGAAAGUCUGACGGAGCAACGCCGCGUGAACGAUGACGGCCUUCGGGUUGUAAAGUUCUGUUAUACGGGACGAAUGGUACGACGACCAAUACCCGUCGUAAGUGACGGUACCGUAAGAGAAAGCCACGGCUAACUACGUGCCAGCAGCCGCGGUAAUACGUAGGUGGCAAGCGUUGUCCGGAAUUAUUGGGCGUAAAGGGCGCGCAGGCGGCGUCGUAAGUCGGUCUUAAAAGUGCGUGGCUUAACCCCGUGAGGGGACCGAAACUGCGAUGCUAGAGUAUCGGAGAGGAAAGCGGAAUUCCUAGUGUAGCGGUGAAAUGCGUAGAUAUUAGGAGGAACACCAGUGGCGAAAGCGGCUUUCUGGACGACAACUGACGCUGAGGCGCGAAAGCCAGGGGAGCAAACGGGAUUAGAAACCCCGGUAGUCC
Molecule: ribosomal RNA, 450 nt
Filed under: uncultured bacterium
Lineage: Bacteria
Description: partial 16S ribosomal RNA
Rfam family: Bacterial small subunit ribosomal RNA
Source: RNAcentral